UGAUAAUUAGUUUAACAAAAAACAAAUGAUUUCGACUCAUUAGAUUGUAACCUGCAUUACAAUUAUCAAA
RNAcentral lists this transfer RNA (70 nucleotides) under Viverra tangalunga (Malayan civet). RNAcentral describes it as "tRNA-Arg". It matches the Rfam family "tRNA". Rfam says of the family: Transfer RNA (tRNA) molecules are approximately 80 nucleotides in length. The record is from RNAcentral. Lineage: Eukaryota; Metazoa; Chordata; Mammalia; Carnivora; Viverridae.